RNAcentral lists this ribosomal RNA (481 nucleotides) under uncultured bacterium. Its description in RNAcentral is "partial 16S ribosomal RNA". It matches the Rfam family "Bacterial small subunit ribosomal RNA", at positions 28 to 507 of the family's 1533-position model. The record is from RNAcentral.
GAUGAACGCUGGCGGCGUGCUUAACACAUGCAAGUCGAACGAAACACCUUAUUUUAUUUUCUUCGGAACUGAAGAUUUGGUGAUUGAGUGGCGGACGGGUGAGUAACGCGUGGGUAACCUGCCCUGUACAGGGGGAUAACAGUCAGAAAUGACUGCUAAUACCGCAUAAGACCACAGCACCGCAUUGUGCAGGGGUAAAAACUCCGGUGGUACAGGAUGGACCCGCGUCUGAUUAGCUGGUUGGUGAGGUAACGGCUCACCAAGGCGACGAUCAGUAGCCGGCUUGAGAGAGUGAACGGUCACAUUGGGACUGAGACACGGCCCAAACUCCUACGGGAGGCAGGAGUGGGGAAUAUUGCACAAUGGGGGAAACCCUGAUGCAGCGACGCCGCGUGAGUGAAGAAGUAUUUCGGUAUGUAAAGCUCUCUCAGCAGGGAAGAAAAUGACGGUACCUGACUAAGAAGCCCCGGCUAACUACGUG